This 1884-nucleotide ribosomal RNA is filed under the name human gut metagenome. Its description in RNAcentral is "bacterial LSU rRNA". It matches the Rfam family "Bacterial large subunit ribosomal RNA", at positions 3 to 1980 of the family's 2925-position model. The record is from RNAcentral.
UCAAGCUACAAAGAGCACAAGGGGAAUGCCUUGGCACCGAGAGCCGAAGAAGGACGUGACUAACUGCGAUAAGCUGCGGGGAGCCGUAAGUAGGCUUUGAUCCGCAGAUUUCCGAAUGGAGCAAUCCGGCAAGAGGAAAGUCUUGUCAUCAUAUACUGAAUACAUAGGUAUAUGAGGGGAACCGCCUGAACUGAAACAUCUAAGUAGGGCGAGGAAGAGAAAUCAACUGAGAUUCCGUAAGUAGUGGCGAGCGAACGCGGAAGAGGCCAAACCGAGAGUAGUAAUACUUUCGGGGUUCGGACAGAAAACGGUAUUGUAAAGGUUUAGUGGAAUGGAAUGGGAAGUCCAACCGAAGAAGGUGAGAGUCCUGUACACGAAAAGCCUGAACAGCCAUCUGUAUCCAGAGUACCGCCGGACACGUGAAACCCGGUGGGAAUAUGGGGGGACCAUCCUCCAAGCCUAAAUACUACUCGGUGACCGAUAGUGAAGAAGUACUGUGAAGGAAAGGUGAAAAGUACCCCUGACGGGGAGUGAAAAAGAACCUGAAACCUUGUGUUUACAAGCACCGAAAGCUCAUCAAAGAGCGAUCGGGUACCUUUUGUAGAAUGGUCCGGCGAGUGAAUGUAACCGGCGAGGUUAAGCACUUAAGGUGUGAAGCCGCAGCGAGAGCAAGUCUGAAUAGGGCGUAUGAAGUCGGUUGUAUUCGACCCGAAACCGGGUGACCUACCCAUGGUCAGGUUGAAGUAAAGGUAAAACUUUAUGGAGGACCGAACCGACUCCCGUUGAAAUGGUAGCGGAUGAACUGUGGGUAGCGGAGAAAUUCCAAUCGAACCCGGAGAUAGCUGGUUCUCCCCGAAAUAGUUUUAGGACUAGCCUCAAGUUAGAUACCUGGAGGUAAAGCACUGAAUAGCCUAGCGGCCGAGAGGUUAGCGAAGCUUAUCAAACUCAGAAUGCCAGAGUAUUGAUGCUUGGGAGUCAGACAGUGUCAGAUAAAUGUCAUUGUCAAAAGGGAAACAGCCCAGAUCUACAGCUAAGGUCCCAAAGUCAGGUUAAGUGGAAAACGAUGUGAAGAUACGCAGACAACCAGGAUGUUGGCUCAGAAGCAGCCACUCAUUCAAAGAGUGCGUAAUAGCUCACUGGUCGAGCGUCUUUGCGCGGAGAAUUUAACGGGGCUAAACCUGACACCGAAGCUUAGGCAAUACAGCAAUGUAUUGGGUAGGGGAGCGUUGUAUACGCGGUGAAACAGUAGCGCAAGCGGCUGUGGAGUGUAUAGAAGUGAGAAUGCCGGAAUGAGUAGCGCGAAUGCAGUGAGAAUCUGCAUGGCCGAAAGCCUCAGGUUUCUGGAGGAAGGUUCGUCCGCUCCAGGUUAGUCGGGAGCUAAGGUGAGGCCUAACGGCGUAGCCGAUGCACAGACGGUAGAGAUUCCGUCACCACCAAAAGAGUUAAGCACAGGGACACAUUUGAAGUCUCAGAGCCGGGUGUUGGUUCCGGUAGAGAUCGAGGGAAAUUAGUACCGAAGUCUGAGAUGGAAGAUGGCGAGAAAAGCUGUGUGUAUUUCUGAGGUGCCCGUACCGCAAACCGACACAGGUAGGUAGGAAGAAGAUUCUAAGGCCAACGGGAGAAGGGUUGUUAAGGAACUCGGCAAAUUGACCCCGUAACUUCGGGAGAAGGGGUGCUCCAGAGAUGGAGCCGCAGAGAAUCGGCCCAAGCAACUGUUUACCAAAAACACAGGUUUGUGCUAAAUCGAAAGAUGACGUAUACGAGCUGACGCCUGCCCGGUGCUGGAAGGUUAAGAGGAGAUGUGCAAGCAUUGAAUCGAAGCCCCAGUGAACGGCGGCCGUAACUAUAACGGUCCUAAGGUAGCGAAAUUCCUUGUCAGGUAAG